UACGGGGGGGGGCAAGCGUUGUCCGGAAUUAUUGGGCGUAAAGAGCUCGUAGGCGGUUUGUCGCGUCUGCUGUGAAAACCCGAGGCUCAACCUCGGGCCUGCAGUGGGUACGGGCAGACUAGAGUGCGGUAGGGGAGAUUGGAAUUCCUGGUGUAGCGGUGGAAUGCGCAGAUAUCAGGAGGAACACCUGUGGCGAAGGCGGCCCCCUGGUUGGAUACUGACGCUGAUACGCGAAAGCGUGGGGAGCAAACAGG
RNAcentral lists this ribosomal RNA (254 nucleotides) under uncultured bacterium. RNAcentral's name for it is "partial 16S ribosomal RNA". It matches the Rfam family "Bacterial small subunit ribosomal RNA", at positions 524 to 776 of the family's 1533-position model. The record is from RNAcentral.